Otolemur garnettii (small-eared galago) is the source of this 98-nucleotide small nucleolar RNA. Lineage: Eukaryota; Metazoa; Chordata; Mammalia; Primates; Galagidae. The record is from Ensembl.
AUCUUUUCAUAGUCAUAAGUGUGGGGAUUGUGUUUCCAGGCUCACCUGAGAUGUGCCUCCCUCAAAUUUUAUGACAUCAGCACAUUACCCAUCUGAUG